UAAAUACUCCAUCCGUCCGUAAUUAUUUGUCACACAAAUGGAUAAAAAUAUAUGUAUCUAGAAUUGAAAUGCAUCUAGAUACAUCCAUUUCUAUGACAAAUAUUUUCGAACGAAGGGAGUAUAAG
This is a non-coding RNA of Hordeum vulgare subsp. vulgare (domesticated barley), 125 nucleotides long. The record is from Rfam. NCBI's taxonomy places the organism in Eukaryota, Viridiplantae, Streptophyta, Magnoliopsida, Poales, Poaceae.